UGCCUUAGUAACGGCGAGUGAAGCGGCAACAGCUCAAAUUUGAAAUCUGGCGUCUUUGGCGUCCGAGUUGUAAUUUGCAGAGGGCGCUUUGGCAUUGGCAGCGGUCCAAGUUCCUUGGAACAGGACGUCACAGAGGGUGAGAAUCCCGUACGUGGUCGCUAGCCUUUACCGUGUAAAGCCCCUUCGACGAGUCGAGUUGUUUGGGAAUGCAGCUCUAAAUGGGAGGUAAAUUUCUUCUAAAGCUAAAUACUGGCCAGAGACCGAUAGCGCACAAGUAGAGUGAUCGAAAGAUGAAAAGCACUUUGGAAAGAGAGUUAAAAAGCACGUGAAAUUGUUGAAAGGGAAGCGCUUGCAGCCAGACUUGCCUGUAGUUGCUCAUCUAGGUUUCUACCUAGUGCACUCUUCUAUAGGCAGGCCAGCAUCAGUUUGGGCGGUUGGAUAAAGGUCUCUGUCAUGUACCUCUCUUCGGGGAGAACUUAUAGGGGAGACGACAUGCAACCAGCCUGGACUGAGGUCCGCGCAUCUGCUAGGAUGCUGGCGUAAUGGCUGUAAGCGGCCCGUCUUGAAACACGGACCAAGGAGUCUAACAUCUAUGCGAGUGUUUGGGUGUCAAGCCCGAGCGCGUAAUGAAAGUGAACGGAGGUGGGAACCUUUCGGGGUGCACCAUCGACCGAUCCUGAUGUCUUCGGAUGGAUUUGAGUAAGAGCAUAGCUGUUGGGACCCGAAAGAUGGUGAACUAUGCUUGAAUAGGGUGAAGCCAGAGGAAACUCUGGUGGAGGCUCGCAGCGGUUCUGACGUGCAAAUCGAUCGUCAAAUUUGGGCAUAGGGGCGAAAGACUAAUCGAACUAUCUAGUAGCUGGUUCCUGCCGAAGUUUCCCUCAGGAUAGCAGUAACGUUUUCAGUUUUAUGAGGUAAAGCGAAUGAUUAGAGGCCUGGGGGUUGAAACAAC
RNAcentral lists this ribosomal RNA (949 nucleotides) under Didymella tanaceti. RNAcentral describes it as "eukaryotic LSU rRNA". It matches the Rfam family "Eukaryotic large subunit ribosomal RNA", at positions 76 to 1045 of the family's 3401-position model. The record is from RNAcentral. Lineage: Eukaryota; Fungi; Ascomycota; Dothideomycetes; Pleosporales; Didymellaceae.